GCGGCUGCUGCCCUCACUUCAGACGCUGCCCGCUCCUCCCUUUUACCGGGUGGCGGAGGGCAUCUGAUCCUAAGCUCCUUGUGUUCAGAGAGACUCUCUUGCCAUACUCUUCAGUCAUUUCCUACUGGAAUACCCUGAAAGGAAUGAUGCGGAAAUGAGAUUGGGAUUGUGGAGAUGGGGUUUUUUUUUGAAGCCCUAUCCACAAACUGCUAAAGGACCUAGAAAGUGAAGAAAGCAAUUCCCAUGACCAGGAACAGAGAAACGGAUACCCCAGAGGGUGAUGGUAUUUGGAGUGAGAAUGCUUAUAGGCCAUACUCUGCUUUACUAGACUUCGAGAAUAAGAAAGAAAUACUCCAGAGGCUAAUCUAAUGAGAAAUAUGUGAAGUGAUUCCACUCUCAGGCUGUGGAAUCCACUAAAACUCAGCUUCUGUAGCAUGAAGGACUGCAAGAGAAGCAACUCUGAAGCGAGAUUGGACUCUGAAGAAUUAUGAAAAAUGAUUUCUUACUUGUUGUUUUGUCACUUCCUAUCUAUCAGUGCAGGAUAGUAUCAGUAAUUGAAAAACACACUAGUUGAGACCCUGGAGUGUUUCUGCCCAAAGGACACCACAGCAUAAAGCUGUGGGGAAGAUGGUUGUAAAUUGAAAGGUCUGCAUCUGCUGCUUUUUGCCUCCUUUGAAGCCACUGAUGGUACAACAUGACAGAAACUCUUAAACUGUCAAGGACUUUCUAUUAUUAUCACUUUUUUCAAAGACACUAAAUAAAGCACUCUGUACUUCUAUUGCUACUCUCCCAUGUGGAUUUUAAUAAUUCUUUAGUUUUUGUUUGAUGGUUUUUAUUCUAUUUUAUGUGUAGCGUAUUUAAAUGUUUACUUUGUCUUUACAAUAUGGCAAGAGUUCAUUGCCUUCUGGAACAUGCAUAAUCUUACCACCAUAUCAGCAUUAUUAGGUUGGGAAACCACAUAAAAGGCCUUUAUCUAAUUGUUACUGAAUUAGUGAAGAAAUGCUCACAUAUUCUUGCCCAUUUAAAGUGCCCAUUUGAUUAAAACAAUGUCAAAAAGCAAAUUUAUUAAAAACCAAUUGGUCAUAGUUUUAGAGAAUACUUUGUGACUUGUAUGUAGAAAAUUAAUGUCAAUGACCUAUAAUCAAUAGAAUAUGUACGUUAAAUGAUUUCCAGUGCUAGUGUUGGGUUAUGCCAGUUCCUUUACUAAUCACAGGGCACAUGUGUGAUAUUGACCUCUGGGGAUGAUGAUAGGGUCUGUGACCUUAAAAAUGUAAAUAGUAGGGUAGGGGAAACUAAAUGCUCAUGGUAUAAAUCAAACACAUGACUUUAGACCAACUAGCAUCAUAUUCCAAGUAGGCAUUUAAACAUAAUAGUAAAUUCCAGAUUAUCCACAACAUGCAUAUUUUUGAGGGAUCACCUGUGUUAACAUUUCUUCCUCACCAGGCCCCCUCCUUGGUCUUUUCCCUGACACUCUAUAAUCAUCUUGGGACUAUAAGCCUCCCUUCUCCCCACCGCACAUCCCCUACAAUGAUAUCUCAAGCCAGACUCUUUGCUGACACCUGCACUAAUAGCAGGGUAGAUUAUCUACUCUUCUUAAUUAUCUCUCCCCCAGCUGCCUCCAUUAGCUUGGAUAAUUGACUGUAUGUAUAACAUUCAUAAGCAGAACAAUGUGCUAUGGAAAAAAAUUAAGGGAGAGAAAAAAAUGAAUCUUUAGUUUAUAUAAGAUUAGCUAUGUGUGGCAUCAGACGUAUGGCAUCUGGAGUUUUGGGGGAGCAUCUGCUUUUCUUUUGUUGGGAAAGUCGUUAAGAAUUUGGAAUGAGGUUUUUCAAAGAAUAGGAGGAAGUGUUGCAUACAUUUUACAUGGAGAGGGCAUUCAAGAAAGAGAGUUUCCGUGAGGGAAAGUUGCACUCUCAUGAGUGAGAAGACAGGAAGCAGCAAAUACUGAGAGCUAGAGAAGACAAGUUUGGCCAUGAGAUACAGAGCUGCUGAGGAGGCCUGAGAAGGUGAGGGUACCAAUUCAGUGGCAAAUGUUCACUAACAGGACAAUUGUGGAAGAAGAAAACUAUUUUUUUCCAAAGCCUUUGAGUCAAUCCUAUCAAUUGCCCCUGCAAUUUUGUUCCUAUGAAAUAGGUAUUCAUCCCUAUUAUAUGACCAACAAAUCCAAGCAUUAAAAUAGAUGUAGUGAUUUCUGCAAAUUGACAAAUGAUGAGACUGGAAUUUAAAGCCAUAGAAUGUGAUGCCUGGGAAUGGAUUGUGAUCCAGCAGGCUAUUUGAACCAUUUGAACUCUUUAAAAGAGCAUAGUUCAAAGUUGCAUUAAUUUAAAAGAAAACUUAUUUGAACAGAAAAUACAAGUCCUAUGAAAUGAUUACUAUAAGUUUUAUAAUACCUUAAAUAUGUGAACAGUGAAUAUAUAGGGAGGGCAAAAAUGAAAAUAAAUUUGUGAUUUAAUUGUCAGAAUACUUCUUUAAAAGCAAUCAGGAAUACUUAGAUUGAAAACAGAAUUAGAGAAUUAAUUAUCUGUAAAAUAAUCAAAAACAUUUCAUUUUUCUUUGUGUGAGAUUAAAUAGUUUGCACUUUAAUUUUGUAUAUUUUCAAAUUCUCAUAAUAAAGAUUCAGGUCGCUUAUAUUCUAUCUUGAGCCUCUUGGAUGACCUAAGAAUUCCUGGUAUAUUAUUUUUGAGGUUUUAGAAAAAAAGGUGGAAUUUUGUUCUUAUACCUUUUAUGGAUUGACCUCAUAAAAAUGAGUAUACAAAAAAGAAGGGGCACGUUGAGGUGAUUUAUUCAUUGAUCUGGUGUGUGAUGUUGUUAAUUAAAGCUUUUUUGAAAAUU
RNAcentral lists this long non-coding RNA (2829 nucleotides) under Sus scrofa (pig). Its description in RNAcentral is "lncRNA (multiple genes)". Lineage: Eukaryota; Metazoa; Chordata; Mammalia; Artiodactyla; Suidae. The record is from RNAcentral.